Eptesicus fuscus (big brown bat) is the source of this 738-nucleotide long non-coding RNA. RefSeq lists it as uncharacterized. The transcript is spliced from 3 exons. The record is from RefSeq and is a predicted model, not a curated record. Lineage: Eukaryota; Metazoa; Chordata; Mammalia; Chiroptera; Vespertilionidae.
AAUGUGUAAUUGAAACAGGCAUAAUCAGCAACUGGCAGAAUCUCCUGUUGACUCUCCAAUCUGUGAAAUGAGGAUCAGGAUCAUAGAAAAGGCAAAGUGGAAGCCUCUAGAGAAUUCUUCCAUAUUAGGAGUGGCCAGGUUUUUCUGGGAGAACACAGAGAACAUGGGUCAAAAGUCACAAACUGCAGUGACACAGAAUGGCAUCUGAGAGGAAUUUGAACUUGGGAAGAAUCAUCUAAGGACAGAAGGUCAUCCUGGGGACAAGGACUCCAUAGAUAUUGCCCACUAAUUUCCAUUAACAAGGGUCCCAGAUAUGACUUGGUUCCUGACUUCUGAAGGCCUGGAUGUUUACUCUUUCCUAGGUUCUGUGAGAAAUUCAAUAUCCUUUUAAGAAAUCUGGUUCUUUUCCUUAAGUUACCUUGAAUCAAUUUUAGUUGUUUGUCUGCUACCAAGAGUUAUAGCAACUACUCUCUUUAUUGAAUUUAAGUGUCUAUAUGACUAAUGACUCAGCUUCAUUAAAUGUGUGAAUAUCUGAAAUCUAAGUUUGGGCUCAUCAAGCUUAGCUACUGUUCUAUGACACCAAGGAAAUCACCACAAUAUUGAAAAGUCAAUGUAUCCAACUUGAAUUAAUGAACACGUUUUUAAUCUUUUUUGAAAAGUUUUCAAUAAAUAAGAUGAAAGGUGAGAAAAAGACAGCCAUGGUGUCUCUAAAAUAAAAUAAAAUCUACUUGCAUUGGC